UUUGAUCCUGGCUCAGAUUGAACGCUGGCGGCAGGCUUAACACAUGCAAGUCGAGCGGAAACGAUGAUAGCUUGCUAUCAGGCGUCGAGCGGCGGACGGGUGAGUAAUACUUAGGAAUCUACCUAGUAGUGGGGGAUAGCUCGGGGAAACUCGAAUUAAUACCGCAUACGACCUACGGGAGAAAGGGGGCAACUUGUUGCUCUCGCUAUUAGAUGAGCCUAAGUCGGAUUAGCUAGAUGGUGGGGUAAAGGCCUACCAUGGCGACGAUCUGUAGCUGGUCUGAGAGGAUGAUCAGCCACACCGGGACUGAGACACGGCCCGGACUCCUACGGGAGGCAGCAGUGGGGAAUAUUGGACAAUGGGGGCAACCCUGAUCCAGCCAUGCCGCGUGUGUGAAGAAGGCCUUUUGGUUGUAAAGCACUUUAAGCAGUGAAGAAGACUCCGUGGUUAAUACCCACGGACGAUGACAUUGAGCUGCAGAAUAAGCACCGGCUAACUCUGUGCCAGCAGCCGCGGUAAUACAGAGGGUGCAAGCGUUAAUCGGAAUUACUUGGGCGUAAAGCGAGCGUAGGUGGCUUGAUAAGUCCAGAUGUGAAAUCCCCGGGGCUUAACCUGGGAACUGAUCUGAUACUGUUAGGCUAGAGUAGGUGAGAAGGAAGGUAGGAAUUUCCAGGUGUAGCGGGUGGAAAUUGCGGUUAGAGAUCUGGGGGGGGAAUACCGGAUUGGGAAAGGGCAGCCUUUCUUGG
This 746-nucleotide ribosomal RNA is filed under the name uncultured bacterium. RNAcentral describes it as "bacterial SSU rRNA". It matches the Rfam family "Bacterial small subunit ribosomal RNA", at positions 12 to 733 of the family's 1533-position model. The record is from RNAcentral.